GACGAACGCUGGCGGCGUGCUUAACACAUGCAAGUCGAACGGAAAGGCCCCCACCUUGGUGGGGGUGCUCGAGUGGCGAACGGGUGAGUAACACGUGGGUGAUCUGCCCUGUACUUCGGGAUAAGCUUGGGAAACUGGGUCUAAUACCGGAUAGGACCAUGGUUUAGUGUCUCAUGGUGGAAAAAUUAUUGUUUUGGUGCAGGAUGAGCUCGCGGCCUAUCAGCUUGUUGGUGGGGUAAUGGCCUACCAAGGCGUCGACGGGUAGCCGGCCUGAGAGGGUGGACGGCCACAUUGGGACUGAGAUACGGCCCAGACUCCUACGGGAGGCAGCAGUGGGGAAUAUUGCACAAUGGGCGCAAGCCUGAUGCAGCGACGCCGCGUGGGGGGAUGACGGCCCUUCGGGUUGUAAAACUCCCUUU
This 419-nucleotide ribosomal RNA is filed under the name Corynebacterium matruchotii. RNAcentral's name for it is "bacterial SSU rRNA". It matches the Rfam family "Bacterial small subunit ribosomal RNA", at positions 28 to 436 of the family's 1533-position model. Lineage: Bacteria; Bacillati; Actinomycetota; Actinomycetes; Mycobacteriales; Corynebacteriaceae. The record is from RNAcentral.